This 763-nucleotide small RNA is filed under the name Arabidopsis thaliana (thale cress). Its description in RNAcentral is "ATSL242460". Lineage: Eukaryota; Viridiplantae; Streptophyta; Magnoliopsida; Brassicales; Brassicaceae. The record is from RNAcentral.
UUGUUUUGUUGAUAAAAUGUGAAAAACGUAAAUAUAUCAACUUUUAUUCCAAAAUAAUAAUCUAUUAGAAACAUAUGAGUAUUUAACUAUUUAUAAAUUUUUUUUACUGUUUAGCUUUGUAUUGAGAUAUGGAAAAAUGGUAUGGAGAACCAAAGAUCGACCGAGACGACAAGGCUAAAAUAUAAGUCUUGAAAACAUUUUUUUUCAUUCUUAUGUUUUGCUUGGUUUUUGCUUAUUAUUUGCUUGGGACGAAUUAGAAGAUGGAAGGUGAGACUGGCUUAACUCAUGGAUGUUUCUUAACAUUUUGAAGGUUUGAGUGGUUUUCUAGACACAUCCACUUAUGUAUUGAUUGAACAUUGUAAAUAAAUUAUAACUUGUAAUUUUAUUUAAAUGGAUGCUUAAGUAGACGAUGUCACACUGAUAUCGGUAUUCUGAAUAGAGAGAAAACUUUUCUAUUAUAUAUUGAUUUUGGUUUUGGAUUCAAUAACAUUUAAGAAAAAACAGUUACCGAUUUUAUUAAAUACUUAUAAUAACUCUGGUAAAUUUCCUAAAUACAAAUUAUUGGAGUGAGGAGUAAAAGUCUAUCUCCACAGAAGACAUUAUGAACAUCAAAUUAGCCAGAAAAACACCAAAGGGGUUAUCAAGUUAUAAACAUCAAAAUUCACACAGAAGGAAAACUCCUUUUCUCUAUACACUUCUCUUAAACUUUAACCCCCAAAAGCUCAGCCAUUUCGCAACUAAACCCACCACUAUUGCUGAAUUG